Molecule: ribosomal RNA, 120 nt
Filed under: Raja polystigma (speckled ray)
Lineage: Eukaryota; Metazoa; Chordata; Chondrichthyes; Rajiformes; Rajidae
Source: RNAcentral
GCCUAUGGCCAUACUAGCCUGAACACGCCCGAUCCCGUCCGAUCUCGGAAGCUAAGCAGGCUCAGGCCUGGUUAGUACUUGGAUGGGAGACCGCCUGGGAAUACCAGGUGCCGUAGGCUU